RNAcentral lists this ribosomal RNA (490 nucleotides) under uncultured bacterium. RNAcentral describes it as "partial 16S ribosomal RNA". It matches the Rfam family "Bacterial small subunit ribosomal RNA", at positions 30 to 507 of the family's 1533-position model. The record is from RNAcentral.
AUUGAACGCUGGCGGCAGGCCUAACACAUGCAAGUCGAACGGUAACAGGAAGAACCUUGCUUCUUUGCUAACGAGUGGCGGACGGGUGAGUAAUGUCUGGGAAACUGCCUGAUGGAGGGGGAUAACUACUGGAAACGGUAGCUAAUACCGCAUAACGUCGCAAGCCCAAAAAGGGGGACUUUCGGGCCCCUUGCCAUCGGAUGUGCCCAGAUGGGAUUAGCUAGUAGGUGGGGUAACGGCUCACCUAGGCGACGAUCCCUAGCUGGUCUGAGAGGAUGACCAGCCACACUGGAACUGAGACACGGUCCAGACUCCUACGGGAGGCAGCAGUGGGGAAUAUUGCACAAUGGGCGCAAGCCUGAUGCAGCCAUGCCGCGUGUAUGAAGAAGGCCUUCGGGUUGUAAAGUACUUUCAGCGGGGAGGAAGGGAGUAAAGUUAAUACCUUUGCUCAUUGACGUUACCCGCAGAAGAAGCACCGGCUAACUCCGUG